RNAcentral lists this ribosomal RNA (841 nucleotides) under uncultured archaeon. Its description in RNAcentral is "bacterial SSU rRNA". It matches the Rfam family "Archaeal small subunit ribosomal RNA", at positions 450 to 1291 of the family's 1478-position model. The record is from RNAcentral.
GACUGGUGGCAGCCGCCGCGGUAACACCAGCGCCUCGAGUGGUACCCACGAAUAUUGGGCCUAAAGCGUCCGUAGCCGGACCUGUAAGUCCACUGUGAAAUGUUGGAGCUCAACUCUAACGCGUGCAGUGGAUACUGUUGGUCUUGGGAAUGGGGGAGGGUCGGAGUACUUCCAGGGUAGGGGUAAAAUCCGUUGAGCCUGGAAGGACUACCAGUGGCGAAGGCGCCGAUCCAAAACAUAUCCGACGGUGAGGGACGAAAGCUGGGGGAGCGAACGGGAUUAGAUACCCCGGUAGUCCCAGCUGUAAAUGAUGCAGACUGAGGUGUUGCCUGUGAGUAAUCACAGGCAGUGCUGUAGCGUAGGUGUUAAGUCUGCCGCCUGGGGAGUACGAUCGCAAGAUUUAAACUUAAAGGAAUUGGCGGGGGAGCACCACAAGCCGUGGAUGCUACGGUUUAAUUGGAUACAACGCCGGAAAUAUCACCAAAGGCGACGGCAGUAUGAAGGCCAGACUAAAGAUCUUGCCUGACGAGCCGAGAGGUAUUGCAUGGCCAUCGUCAGCUCGUGGUGUGAACUGUCCUGUUAAGUCAGGCAACGAGCGAGACCCAUGCGCUUAGUUACUAAUUCUCUCUCCGGAGGGGAUGUACUCUAAGCGGACUGCCCGUGCUAAAUGGGAGGAAGGAGUGGGCGACGGUAGGUCAGUAUGGUCCGAAACCUUUGGGCUACACGCGGCAUACAGUGGAUGGAACAAUGGGCUGCGACUUCGAAAGGAGGAGCCAAUCCUCUAAAUCCAUCCGUGGUUCGGAUCGAGGGUUGCAACUCACCCUCGUGAAGAUGGAAUGGC